GCGACCAGUGGAUAUGUUUUGCCUUUGAUAUGAAUAGCAAGCAAGUUUCAAUCUUCUACCCUGGCAAGCCCCUUGCUGCUCAACGCUGUUUUGUUGGCCAAUGGUACGUUCACGUUCAAAAGAUGCUCAUCGGACUUAGUCUUGCUUAUGGGCCGCAUGUUUAGAGUCGCGCUUCGCCGCUUGUUCAGUGGAAAACAGAUUAUUACCGCUGGAAUGGUCGCAUUACCGGAAAGUGGUUCCAUGGUUUCUUAGUUGCCGUUUUUGCAUUGAUUUUUGAUGGUGUGCUUGGAGAAACUCAGGACCCUGUAAUGAAUCCGGAGUACUCGGUCAAGUGGACCUUGUGUCACCUCCUUCUUGAUAGGCCGAUGAACCCACUGCGUCCCGAAGCCUGGUUCAAAACCAGGCCAUAGCUACCUGGGUACCCGGAGGCCCAUUAACACUUUUGGAUAUGCGACUGAGCUUUUGUGAUUAGGCCCACCUGAUUUUCUUUUGUAGUCCCUUAUUCGACCCCAUGCUGCGGGCCUAGUCAAUCCUAUGUAUAGUUAUCUAGUUCAACAUUUUCAUCAGGUACCCUGCUAACGAAGUGUUGGACGAGCCCCUAAUAUGUCCUUGUCCCUGAUAAUAGAUUGCUUAAAACUUUGUGCUUG
Long non-coding RNA from Sorghum bicolor (sorghum), 647 nucleotides. RefSeq lists it as uncharacterized. NCBI's taxonomy places the organism in Eukaryota, Viridiplantae, Streptophyta, Magnoliopsida, Poales, Poaceae. The transcript is spliced from 3 exons. The record is from RefSeq and is a predicted model, not a curated record.